GAUAAAUAGAUGUGUAUGUAAUGGAUAACACAUACGGAAGGGGGUAGUCUGAUAUGUCCAUGAUGGUGUCAGCUCUAUUUUAUAUACACUAUAGUUAUGGUUCACCCAGAGCCCAGCACCUUCUGAUGCUCCACACUUGCAGCUGGGCUGUGAGAUAUCCCAAAACCCCAAACAAAUAUCUAAAGUCCUCAAAGUCCUCCUAGAUAAAAUGCUCAUUUAGAAAGAAGAGAACUGCCUGAGGAAAACCCAUGCCCAAUAACUCAUAGGACCAUGCUGGAACAUACCACAGCUGAGCGCCCUUCCCCUGACUUUAUCUGCAUCCUUACUGCAAAGUGGGCAGGUCAGAGCUCAGCUUCAAAAGCAGCCUGGGCUCUAAUCUUUCUCACCAGAUGGACAAGAAAACACAUGCUAAAAGUAUGUGCACAAUGGCAUAAGGCCCCCUUGUCUAAGUGGUUAGAGGAUUGGGAGCUAAGGUAAAUUUCCAGGACAAACCUACAACGCAAGAGACAUGCACACAUGCAAGAGGAGGCUUUUUCCACCACACAGCUUGGGAUAAAAUGACUCCACAUGCUACUCAUCUGUGUGGGCAUUGCAGUGCAGGAAAUCCACCCAGCAGAAAUCAAGGCAUCAGAAGGUGACUGGGGCUGUGCACCGCAGUGGAAAGAACGUCUCCUGAAGAAAGGAUUGCCACCACAGUGAUCACAAUGCCCCCAGCAUGAGGGCGAUGUCUGUCUUGUCCUCAGCAAGAUGCGAUUUCCUCUCUCCUCCUGGAGAGUACAUUGAAUUAUUCUGCAAGGGACCAACAAGUUUAACUGGCCCAAUGAGCUAAUUUUAGAACUUCAUUCUUGAUUUCAGAUUCACUUCAAAUACACUUUAUGAACAAGAAAUAUAAAUGCUAACAAUUUUAGGGUCACGUUUUUCCAAGGGGCCCAGAAAUCCUCAUUGCAGUAUGUUCUUCUGCAUAUAUAAAUAACUAAAGUCACAAAUGAUCAUUGUUAAUUAUCUGCCUAAUGUGCAGAGAGCAUCAUGUAGCCAGAUCUCCAGAGGGCAUUCACUGCAACCACAGCUGACUGCAGGAACAAAAUUGGAAACUGCUUCCCACCCACAGGCCCAUAACAUCACUGAAGGAUUGGAAAGGGGAAGGAAAUAUGAAGACCUGUGUUCGUCCCCUCAAAAUCCCCCAAACCUAAAGAACCUGAAGAAAAUCCAAGAGAACUAACCACAUAGCCCUCAACAAAACCAAAAGUGACUACUCAAUCUAUUAUAAAAUAACUACAGAUGACAUCAAGAUAUGUUGUCCUCAUCCUUGCUUAAAUAAGUAAGUUUCAAAGAAAUAAGAACAAACUCUUCAUGCUUAUUUCUUUUAUUUUCUUUAGCUAGUUCUAAAGGAACUAGUCUGGGCACAGCUAAUAGUCUCCCUACACACCAGGAAACUCUGUACAGGCUGGUUUACUCUGCUAAGACUCAGUUUACUGCUGAUAAUCAAAGCAGUGUAAUGUUUUGCAUUGACCUGUCAUUAGUCUUGGCCCAUGUAAAUCCCUCUGGAUUGCCUCAGGUGCUGGCUGAGGAAGGUAGUGACCAUGUAUUAGCCAGGCCUAAACUCAACUGUUUCUCUCCAUCAAGACCCAGACCUAUCACUCCUCCAAACACUUUACAAUUUAACAUUAUGUUUCUGCUUUUGCUUAUCAUUGCCAGCUUAAUCUCCCUGUCCCGUCUGGCUCUCUUUAGCAAUUACCGUUUCCUAGAUUUCUCUUUUUCACAACAUGAGUUUUGGAUUAUUUUCUUCCCAGAUUUAGAAGUCUGCCCAAGCCAAACCUCAAUGUUGAUUUCUGCCCAGGUUUUUAAUCCUCCUAAAUGAAUUUGUAUUGCCUUUUGUCAACAUUGGUUGUCAUAAAACCUCUCCUAUCUUGCCAUGAUCAGCUUUUAAGUAUCUUGUUAAACCUUUUUUGCUUGGGGCAGAAGAGGAACAUUUUAAAUUUCCAGCUCGGCACCAGAGGAGCCCAGCACACUGCUCAGGGUACAAUGUAUUGCACAGCAAAUAUGUUCCCUGUAGAAAUUCCUAGAUGAUAGAGUGGAAGAUGCAUGUGACAGACCAAACUCCAUUUUCUUAGUGAUUCAUAAAGGAUUUGCAUCUCCAACAGCCACCCAACAUAACAAUAAUUACAUGCCUAAAUCCUUAACAAACCACACCGCUGAGAAACACUUCCCAGGUGUGUUUAUCAGAAAAAGGUUCAAGUGAUAACUUCUGCUGCUGUGCUUAUAUAUCUGACCUAGAGACACUGUUUCCAGACUAAAAGCAGAGUUUCACUUUUCAUGGCUCAUUUCACCAUUGACUUAGCACUUACUCUUUUAUGAGGGGAUCACAGCAAGUGCCAACAAAGAGGGUAUUUUCUGUAGAUGUCCGUGGGAACAAGAAAAAGACCCAGAGUAUCCUACGAAAAAAAUAGAAUACAUGAAUAAAGACUUGUUACUCCUGACACAAUGGGGCAAUAAAAAAACAACACUGUAGACUGUAAGUAGAGAAAUUCAUUGGGUACUUUGUCUUAUUUAGGUUUCCCUAUCUGCUUGCAGAGAUAGCCUCAUUCUCUGAAUAGCAAGUAUACACAAGAUUGCUUUAAACUGUGCAGCUAUAACACAGACACCUUAGAUAAAAUAUAAGGCUUUCUGGAUGGACAGCAGUUAGUCAGGGGAAGCCUUCUUAAAGAUGAUAUGAAUUGAAAACACUCAUUUCUUAAAAUCAUGAAGGUGACAAGUGGAUUCAAUUAAUUCAGCCUGUGAUCUUCUAUUAGCUGUCCUUAGCCUACACCUGCUAUCAAAAUUUUCUGGGCAAGAAUAGCCUCCAUGGAGCUGAGGCCAGGGGCUUGUACGUGCUCCCUUGGGUUGCUGGUCUUGGUGUCCAACCAUCCCUGAAUGUACUCCUGUCCAGCACCCUUUGUGAUCCAAGAAGAUAAUUUAAGGCUUUACUCUAAAAAACAGCCACAAACUCUGUGAUGGGAUGUAUUUUCAGUCUCUGCCAUAACGCUAGCGAGUAGUGGGUAUGCAGCAACAGAUUCCUAUUUCCAUCAUGUCAGCUCUGCUUAGCAUCCUUUCACAAUCUCUUUUUUGUCACACCACUGACUAACCUGACAGGGACUAACAUAGCAUGAAGCAAGGUAACAUGAUUGAAGAGCUUGAGAAAUAUUAAACCAAAUACAUUGCAGAGAAAUUCGUACCACUAACUGCUUUCUCUCCCUUCUUUUUUUUUCUUGAGAA
Aquila chrysaetos chrysaetos is the source of this 3252-nucleotide long non-coding RNA. RefSeq lists it as uncharacterized. The transcript has 2 exons. Lineage: Eukaryota; Metazoa; Chordata; Aves; Accipitriformes; Accipitridae. The record is from RefSeq and is a predicted model, not a curated record.